AGUGAACGCUGGCGGUAGGCCUAACACAUGCAAGUCGAACGGCAGCACAGUAAGAGCUUGCUCUUACGGGUGGCGAGUGGCGGACGGGUGAGGAAUACAUCGGAAUCUACUUUUUCGUGGGGGAUAACGUAGGGAAACUUACGCUAAUACCGCAUACGACCUACGGGUGAAAGCAGGGGAUCUUCGGACCUUGCGCGAUUGAAUGAGCCGAUGUCGGAUUAGCUAGUUGGCGGGGUAAAGGCCCACCAAGGCGACGAUCCGUAGCUGGUCUGAGAGGAUGAUAAGCCACACUGGAACUGAGACGCGGUCCAGACUCCUACGGGAGGCAGCAGUGGGGAAUAUUGGACAAUGGGCGCAAGCCUGAUCCAGCCAUACCGCGUGGGUGAAGAAGGCCUUCGGGUUGUAAAGCCCUUUUGUUGGGAAAGAAAAGCAGCAGGUUAAUACCCCGCUGUUCUGACGGUACCCAAAGAAUAAGCACCGGCUAACUUCGUG
RNAcentral lists this ribosomal RNA (492 nucleotides) under uncultured bacterium. RNAcentral's name for it is "partial 16S ribosomal RNA". It matches the Rfam family "Bacterial small subunit ribosomal RNA", at positions 29 to 507 of the family's 1533-position model. The record is from RNAcentral.